UACUAGGGUGCCCGUUAUAGCGGGGUGUCCGUAAUAACGAGGUGUCCGUAAUAGCUGGGUGUCCGUAAUAGUAGGGUGCCCGUUAUAGCGGUGCCCGAAAAAGCGGGGUGCCCGUAAUAGCAGGGUGUCCGUGAAACAGUCAUGUAGCAGCCCGCUUAUAAGGCCUAACAGGAUUGGCUGGAUUACCUCAUUGUUCUAUUGUAUUCCCGUUCUAUUGUUUUGUUUCCCAUUGUUUUGUCUGUGGUGUAUCAAUCCCAUCAGGUGAAAUCUUUUGAGAGCUGCUACACACGACCCCCGUGUAAACGAGGUGUCCGUAAUAACGAGGUGUCUGUAAUAACGAGGUGUCUGUAAUAACGAGGUGUCUGUAAUAACGAGGUGUCUGUAAUAACGAGGUGUCUGUAAUAACGAGGUGUCUUUUAGGCGAGAGUUGACUUAAACGCAAGCAGACGCCAGUGACCAAACGAAACGCCAAGUCUUCCGGCGUUUUGCCUGAGCCACACAUGAAGCACAUGAUAUGUAAAUAUCUAAUAACAUUCCAAGAAAUCAGACAGUUUUCAUGGAAAUUCAUUUAUUGGUACUCUGUGCUUAAUACUAGCUGUUAUAGAUUUUACACAACUUUACUCAGUUCUUUACAACUAAUAUCUAACUACAUUUUAAUUAAAUACUUCUUGGAAAACAGUGAUUAUAAAAUGGAUGCAAUUCUAUUACUGUUAUGUGACACCUUAGCGUGAAUUCAUCUUAGAAAUAUUUCUAGGAAUUGGAUUCUUUAAAACAUAUAACAACCAAAAUAGAAACCAAAUCAAUAGCUGUCUUGAUGCUUUUAUGUAAUUCAUUUGCUUAUUGCUUAAAUAGUUAUAAUAAAUACCAUAUUUAUA
This is a long non-coding RNA of Nematostella vectensis (starlet sea anemone), 875 nucleotides long. RefSeq lists it as uncharacterized. Lineage: Eukaryota; Metazoa; Cnidaria; Anthozoa; Actiniaria; Edwardsiidae. The transcript is spliced from 2 exons. The record is from RefSeq and is a predicted model, not a curated record.